UUUCUGUGGCAUUCUUGAUUAUGAUACUAGGUCCAAUCAUGUUUCAAUUACUAUUAUGUGCCCACUACUUCUUGUCUAUAAGACAUUAAAUAGCUGUUUUUAUUUUCAUGGAUACAGUUUAUAAAAAGGCAACAUUUGUAGAUUAUAAUUUUCUGCAUAUCUUGUGGGAAUGUUUUGUAAUUUAAAUUUCUAUUUGUUGCCCUUUUUGGCAUCAGGCUGGAAGAAUAGAAGAUGCCG
This 237-nucleotide unclassified non-coding RNA is filed under the name Hevea brasiliensis (rubber tree). The record is from RNAcentral. Lineage: Eukaryota; Viridiplantae; Streptophyta; Magnoliopsida; Malpighiales; Euphorbiaceae.